RNAcentral lists this small RNA (29 nucleotides) under Bombyx mori (domestic silkworm). Its description in RNAcentral is "ovarian small RNA-19504". Lineage: Eukaryota; Metazoa; Arthropoda; Insecta; Lepidoptera; Bombycidae. The record is from RNAcentral.
UAAUAACUUUCUCCUGCAUCAUCUUGCGC